GAUAAACGCUGGCGGCGUGCAUAACACAUGCAAGUCGAACGGUGAAACUUAGAUGAUUUCUUCGGAAUGAACUUAAGCGGAUUAGUGGCGAACGGGUGAGUAACACGUGAGUAACCUGCCUUACACAAGGGGAUAGCCUUUGGAAACGAAGAAUAAUACCCUAUAAAGUCAAUUUAUCGCAUGAUAGAAUGACCAAAGAUUUAUCGGUGUAAGAUGGACUUGCGUCUGAUUAGCUAGUUGGUGAGAUAAAGGCCCACCAAGGCAACGAUCAGUAGCCGGCUUGAGAGAGUGUACGGCCACAUUGGGACUGAGACACGGCCCAAACUCCUACGGGAGGCAGCAGUGGGGAAUUUUGCACAAUGGGGGAAACCCUGAUGCAGCGACGCCGCGUGAUUUAGAAGGCCUUCGGGUUGUAAAAAUCUUUUUUAUGGGAUGAAAAUGACAGUACCAUAAGAAUAAGGUCCGGCUAAAUACGUGCCAGCAGCCGCGGUAAUACGUAUGGACCGAGCGUUGUCCGGAAUCAUUGGGCGUAAAGGGUACGUAGGCGGCCCAGUAAGUUGGAAGUGAAAUAAUAUAGCUCAACUAUAUAAAGCUUUUAAAACUGCUAGGCUUGAGAGAUGGAAGGGAAAGUGGAAUUCCUAGUGUAGCGGUGAAAUGCGCAGAUAUUAGGAAGAAUACCGGUGGCGAAGGCGACUUUCUGGUCAUCAUCUGACGCUGAGGUACGAAAGCGUGGGUAGCAAACAGG
RNAcentral lists this ribosomal RNA (745 nucleotides) under uncultured Anaerococcus sp. RNAcentral's name for it is "bacterial SSU rRNA". It matches the Rfam family "Bacterial small subunit ribosomal RNA", at positions 28 to 776 of the family's 1533-position model. Lineage: Bacteria; Bacillati; Bacillota; Tissierellia; Tissierellales; Peptoniphilaceae. The record is from RNAcentral.